CCUACGGGUGGCUGCAGUGGGGAAUAUUGGGCCAUGGGCGCAAGCCUGACCCAGCAAAGCCGCGUGAAGGAAGAAGGCUUUCGGGUUGUAAACUUCUUUUUUCAGGGAAGAAGCAAGUGACGGUACGUGAGGAAUAAGCCACGGCUAACUACGUGCCAGCAGCCGCGGUAAUACGUAGGUGGCAGGAGUUAUCCGGAUUUACUGGGUGUAAAGGGCGUGUAGGCGGGAAAGCAAGUCAGAUGUGAAAACCAUGGGCUAAACCUGUGGCCUGCAUUUGAACCUGGUUGUCUUGAGUACUGGAGAGGCAGACGGAAUUCCGAGUGUAGCGGUGAAAUGCGUAGAUAUUAGGAGGAACACCAGUGGCGAAGGCGGUCUGCUGGACAGCAACUGACGCUGAGGCGCGAAAGCGUGGGGAGCAAACAGGAUUAGAUACCCUUGUAGUC
Molecule: ribosomal RNA, 443 nt
Filed under: uncultured bacterium
Lineage: Bacteria
Description: partial 16S ribosomal RNA
Rfam family: Bacterial small subunit ribosomal RNA
Source: RNAcentral